UUUUAUGGAGAGUUUGAUCCUGGCUCAGGAUGAACGCUGGCGGCGUGCCUAAUACAUGCAAGUCGAGCGAACGGACGAGAAGCUUGCUUCUCUGAUGUUAGCGGCGGACGGGUGAGUAACACGUGGAUAACCUACCUAUAAGACUGGGAUAACUUCGGGAAACCGGAGCUAAUACCGGAUGAUAUUUUGAACCGCAUGGUUCAAAAGUGAAAGACGGUCUUGCUGUCACUUAUAGAUGGAUCCGCGCUGCAUUAGCUAGUUGGUAAGGUAACGGCUUACCAAGGCAACGAUGCAUAGCCGACCUGAGAGGGUGAUCGGCCACACUGGAACUGAGACACGGUCCAGACUCCUACGGGAGGCAGCAGUAGGGAAUCUUCCGCAAUGGGCGAAAGCCUGACGGAGCAACGCCGCGUGAGUGAUGAAGGUCUUCGGAUCGUAAAACUCUGUUAUUAGGGAAGAACAUAUGUGUAAGUAACUGUGCACAUCUUGACGGUACCUAAUCAGAAAGCCACGGCUAACUACGUGCCAGCAGCCGCGGUAAUACGUAGGUGGCAAGCGUUAUCCGGAAUUAUUGGGCGUAAAGCGCGCGUAGGCGGUUUUUUAAGUCUGAUGUGAAAGCCCACGGCUCAACCGUGGAGGGUCAUUGGAAACUGGAAAACUUGAGUGCAGAAGAGGAAAGUGGAAUUCCAUGUGUAGCGGUGAAAUGCGCAGAGAUAUGGAGGAACACCAGUGGCGAAGGCGACUUUCUGGUCUGUAACUGACGCUGAUGUGCGAAAGCGUGGGGAUCAAACAGGAUUAGAUACCCUGGUAGUCCACGCCGUAAACGAUGAGUGCUAAGUGUUAGGGGGUUUCCGCCCCUUAGUGCUGCAGCUAACGCAUUAAGCACUCCGCCUGGGGAGUACGACCGCAAGGUUGAAACUCAAAGGAAUUGACGGGGACCCGCACAAGCGGUGGAGCAUGUGGUUUAAUUCGAAGCAACGCGAAGAACCUUACCAAAUCUUGACAUCCUUUGACAACUCUAGAGAUAGAGC
This 1031-nucleotide ribosomal RNA is filed under the name Staphylococcus aureus. RNAcentral describes it as "bacterial SSU rRNA". It matches the Rfam family "Bacterial small subunit ribosomal RNA", at positions 1 to 1012 of the family's 1533-position model. The record is from RNAcentral. Lineage: Bacteria; Bacillati; Bacillota; Bacilli; Caryophanales; Staphylococcaceae. RNAcentral also lists the same sequence under 1 other name.